UACGUAGGGUGCAAGCGUUGUCCGGAAUUAUUGGGCGUAAAGAGCUCGUAGGCGGUUCGUCGCGUCGGCUGUGAAAUCCCGAGGCUCAACCUCGGGUCUGCAGUCGAUACGGGCGAACUGGAGUUCGGCAGGGGAGACUGGAAUUCCUGGUGUAGCGGUGAAAUGCGCAGAUAUCAGGAGGAACACCGGUGGCGAAGGCGGGUCUCUGGGCCGAUACUGACGCUGAGAAGCGAAAGCAUGGGGAGCGAACAGG
RNAcentral lists this ribosomal RNA (253 nucleotides) under uncultured bacterium. RNAcentral describes it as "partial 16S ribosomal RNA". It matches the Rfam family "Bacterial small subunit ribosomal RNA", at positions 524 to 776 of the family's 1533-position model. The record is from RNAcentral.